ACGAACGCUGGCGGCGUGCUUAACACAUGCCAGUCGCACGGAAAGGCCCUGCUUGCAGGGUACUCGAGUGGCGAACGGGUGAGUAACACGUGGGUGAUCUGCCCUGCACUUCGGGAUAAGCCUGGGAAACUGGGUCUAAUACCGGAUAGGAGCCAUUUUUAGUGUGAUGGUUGGAAAGUUUUUUCGGUGUAGGAUGAGCUCGCGGCCUAUCAGCUUGUUGGUGGGGUAAUGGCCUACCAAGGCGGCGACGGGUAGCCGGCCUGAGAGGGUGGACGGCCACAUUGGGACUGAGAUACGGCCCAGACUCCUACGGGAGGCAGCAGUGGGGAAUAUUGCACAAUGGGCGCAAGCCUGAUGCAGCGACGCCGCGUGGGGGAGGACGGCCUUCGGGUUGUAAACUCCUUUCGCUAGGGACGAAGCUUUUUGUGACGGUACCUAGAUAAGAAGCACCGGCUAACUACGUG
RNAcentral lists this ribosomal RNA (464 nucleotides) under uncultured bacterium. RNAcentral describes it as "partial 16S ribosomal RNA". It matches the Rfam family "Bacterial small subunit ribosomal RNA", at positions 29 to 507 of the family's 1533-position model. The record is from RNAcentral.